This 135-nucleotide small RNA is filed under the name Paenibacillus sp. RNAcentral's name for it is "c-di-AMP sequence". It matches the Rfam family "c-di-AMP riboswitch aptamer (ydaO/yuaA leader)". From Rfam's summary of the family: This family represents a conserved RNA structure found upstream of the ydaO and yuaA genes in Bacillus subtilis and related genes in other bacteria. The ydaO/yuaA element is thought to act as a genetic "off" switch for the ydaO and yuaA genes in its native state. It is believed that the element may be triggered during osmotic shock leading to activation of ydaO, a predicted amino acid transporter gene, and members of the yuaA-yubG operon which code for KtrA and KtrB K+ transporters. Lineage: Bacteria; Bacillati; Bacillota; Bacilli; Caryophanales; Paenibacillaceae. The record is from RNAcentral.
AAACUUAGAAGGCCGAAGCUUUUUUGAAGCACGGGGGAACCAAUCUUUGGGGUGAAGUCGCGUUAUGCGCGGCCGGGUGAUUACUCUUUGAUCCGAAUCCGACAGCUAACCUCGCAGGCCACAAAAAGGAGAGGU